This 465-nucleotide ribosomal RNA is filed under the name Vreelandella stevensii. Its description in RNAcentral is "partial 16S ribosomal RNA". It matches the Rfam family "Bacterial small subunit ribosomal RNA", at positions 338 to 795 of the family's 1533-position model. Lineage: Bacteria; Pseudomonadati; Pseudomonadota; Gammaproteobacteria; Oceanospirillales; Halomonadaceae. The record is from RNAcentral.
CCUACGGGCGGCUGCAGUGGGGAAUAUUGGACAAUGGGCGAAAGCCUGAUCCAGCCAUGCCGCGUGUGUGAAGAAGGCCUUCGGGUUGUAAAGCACUUUCAGUGGGGAAGAAAGCCUUGGGGCUAAUACCCUCGAGGAAGGACAUCACCCACAGAAGAAGCACCGGCUAACUCCGUGCCAGCAGCCGCGGUAAUACGGAGGGUGCGAGCGUUAAUCGGAAUUACAGGGCGUAAAGCGCGCGUAGGCGGUCUGAUAAGCCGGUUGUGAAAGCCCCGGGCUCAACCUGGGAACGGCAUCCGGAACUGUCAGGCUAGAGUGCAGGAGAGGAAGGUAGAAUUCCCGGUGUAGCGGUGAAAUGCGUAGAGAUCGGGAGGAAUACCAGUGGCGAAGGCGGCCUUCUGGACUGACACUGACGCUGAGGUGCGAAAGCGUGGGUAGCAAACAGGAUUAGAUACCCGUGUAGUC